GUGUGUAUUGUGUAGGUGAGACGGUUGCGCAUGCGUGUUGUGUGCUAAGAGCCUAUAAGAUGACGAUAACAGCGAAUCCAUGCUCCGUGUGAUUACUACUCCUUGAACUUUGGAGGUGCGACACGAGAAGGGCGUUAACCCCGUGGAUGACAACCUCGGCCCAGGAGAAGACAUCUCCCCUGCGUCUCCUGGCCACAGUCAAGUGACCGGAGCAGGAACAGUUAACACACCCCUGGUGUAGACCGUGAAGAGCAGAGGGGAGGAGAAACAACCUUGGAGUGCCCCGGUGCUUGAAUGAGGGGGAUAGAUUCUCGCAAUUGUCUCAGUGUUUUCAAUAACAUCUGUGUCUCUUUUCUUUGCUGGAACGGUGAAGAGAUUCAACAUCAGACAUGCAAGUUUGCAGCAAUCCAGUCACUAGUGGUGUUCAUUUAGUGUUCAAAAUAUUAUAUUUUCAUCGUGUCCUCGUAGUAUUGGUGAGAAAGACAUCUGCCCUGGCACUCUAUUGCCUGUGGUCAAGACUACUGGCUUGUUCGUUGUCCCAGCCCAACUUUUGACCUUUUUGAGAAGGCAAGAGACCCCCUGGUUUACGGGUUCCGUCUGGGGUGGCAUUUACUUAGUGUAGCACCACCAUGCUCGCUACAUCUGUCCAUUCUUUUCACUGAUGUUCUAGCUGGUAAUCCAUUUCACGUCAUAGCAACAAAUAUGACGUCUCGUUGUCCAUCCAUUCCUGAAAGAACAUGGGCCGAGCACCAAACUGCCGGAUGUCAUCUUCAUUUCUCAUGUUUGCUACAGAUCCCCCCCGUCGAUUUUCUUUGGCCCAAUGGCGAAUCAAGGCGACAUUUUAAAGAGAGAAGACACGGAUUGGCAGGAGCACACAUGUCACCGAGGUGUCGAUGACAUGUUUGAUGUGUGGAGAUAAAUGUGUAUAUGGUUGUGUGUAUUGGGAUGGUUGUGAGACCGGUAAUUUGGGGCAGGGAAGAAACUAAGGGCGAACAUUGACAAGGUAUAGAGUUCACAGUAAAUGUCACAUCGGGAAAACAACUACAACGGAAGACCAAAAAAGGGGGGAACUCCACGGCUCUUAUGUCGGAAGCUCAGAGGAGAGGCAGAGUUACCAGCUUGGAAAGAUGGGCGUUGAAGUGCUGGAGUCGCACCGGGAAAAAAAGGAGCCGCACUGAUUUGGCGAAGACUCUCUCAUCUUCCGUUGGUAUGAAUCUGUUUCUAAAAUAUAAAGAUAGUGAAGCAUCAACUUCAGGCAGUGGUACUAGCAGUGCAUGCGCACCUACAGUUGUCCAGCCAUCGACUUCAACCAGCCAGAAGUCAGGCUUCAUGAACGUAGUUCAAUACACGAAGGCGGACUCGUUAAAGCCAGAGAUCGUGUGGACUUUAAAAGUGAUCUGCAGCCAUUACAGUUACAAAUCUUGCGAAAAUAAUUCGAAAGUGUUUGCAGUCAUGUUCUCAGACAGUGACAUUGCUAAAAACUACCACUGUGGAGAAAGGAAGACUUCAUACCUGUCUACAUUUGGCAUCGCUGCCCACUUUUCAUCUCUACUGAGGCAGAAAGUGAAGGCUGAAUCAUAGUAUGUCCUCCUCUUUGAUGAGUCUCUAAAUCAUGAGAUGCAAGAGAAGCAGCUGGACAUUCAUGUGCAAUUGUGGAUUGUUGACCAGGUCCGCACUUGCUACCUCACCUCUGAAUUCCUGGGACAUUCAGCAGCAACUGAUCUUCAGAGCGUCUGGACCCUAUCGUGUGUGACUUCGGUCACCAAAAGCUGCUCCAGCUCUCGAUAGAUGGCCCCAAUGUUAAUUGGAAGCUGUACAAAUCAAUUCAAGAACAAAUAGAAAAGAUGACAACCCGCCUUAUGCUGCAGACUGAAAGCUGCGGUCUCCACACCUUCCAUAACGCAUUUCGAAUCGGUUGCCAGGCUGGGGGGUGAAAGAUUUUCUGUCCAGCCUCUACAACUUGUUUCGCGAUGCACCUGCCAGGCGCGAGGACUUUAAACAAGUCACUGGAUCCGACACUCUCCCUCUCAUGUUCUGCAAGCACAGAUGGCUUGAAAACAUUAAUGUGGCAGAGAGAGCCAUCACCCUGAUGCCACAUGUGCGAGAUUACUGCGAGGCAGCAAGGACGAAGAAGGUGACCUGCCCAACCAACAGCUCCUUCACUGUUGUUCAGAAAGCAGCACAGGACCCCAUCUGCUGCACUUCUUUCUCAUGUGCGCCAAGCUGGUGGAACCAUUCUUGAAAUUGUACCAGACUGACAAGCCUAUGCUUCCCUUCAUCGCAAAGGACAUUGGCACCCUCAUCAAGACUCUGAUGGAAAAGUUCAUCAAGCCUGAAGUCCUUAACGAAAAGGCAGCCUCCCUCACCAGCCUUGUCAAGAUUAAUGUGGGUGACAAGUCACAAUGGGUGGAUUUAUCGAAAGUAGACGUAGGCUUUGCUGCUGAGAGACUGCUUCUGAAAUCUGGCAUUCCAACCGACCGUGUAAAACAGGAAUUUAGAAAGAGCUGCCAUACAUUCCUGGUAAACAUGAUGGAAAAGUUGCUGGAGAAGGCCCCCAUCAUAUACAGUUUAGUCCGCCUAAUAAGAUGGAUGGACCCCUGCCACAUUGCUAUGAAAGAUGAAAAGGAGAACAACAACAAAAAAACUCCAAAAAAACUUACACAUCAUGGUGGAUCACAGAAGGGUGGAGGAAAGCAAUUGAGACAGGAUUCUGUUCCAGUAUUCCAGACUGAGUGAAAUGAUCCAAGAAGAUGAGGAGAUUAGGGUUGCUUUCUCUGACUUCAACAUCUCUAAGGACAGGCUGGACACGCUCUUCCACUCCACUCUGCAUCAGCAGGAAAGCCAGCAGUUCCAGGAGCAAUGGGGCGUCAUAAAGCAGUUGCUGCUCCUGUCCCAUGGACAGGCAUCUGUGGAAAGAGUCUUCUCCACAAACAAGGAGGUCACCGAGGACAACCUAAGUAAGGAGUCACUGGUUGCUCGGAGGCAAAUAGUGGAGGUGGUCCAGCAAUAUGGAGGGCCUGACAUGGUGCCUAUCACAAGGGAGCUGUUGGUCGCUGCGUCUUCUGCCAGAAGUAUUUACGUCCAGCAUCUAGAGGAGGAAAAGAAGAAGAAGAAGCAAACAGGCAGAGAUAGACAGCCUCAAAGCCAAAAAAGCCAGACUAGAGACUGACAUAGCUAUGCUUAUUGAGAAGGCUGACAGGCUGUGUGAGCAGGCAGAAGAAAACAGGAAGCUGAGGUUUAUCACCGAGGCCAAUGCACUCAGAAGCAGACCAAAGGACAAGAGAGCCACUUUGGCAACUCUGCAGCAACAAAUAGAGGAGGCACUGGCUAGGCUCAAGGAGCUAGAGUAGGGGUGCUGAGACAGACAUCAGUAGAAGACAUUUGUGUAUAUAGUUGCAAUUGUAGUUAGAAUCUUUUUUCUGUAUAUUAUGUGAAGACGUUGACAAUGGUCAUAUCAAUGAGAACUACCACAAGGGGCGACAGGUGAUCACUGUCACAGGUACUGAGGUACUACCUUUGAUGAACCAAGAACAACCGAUGGCACCAUUGGGUGAGUCUUUUUUUCCUUACUCUUGAUUUCCCACGAUGGCCCUAAAUUUUUCGUGUCGGCCCUAAAUUUUUUCCGUGUCAGCCCUAAAUUUUUCAUGUCAGCCCCUAAGAAUGCCCCUAAAAAGCCUUUAAUUUUUUUGGCUCCGACUGAGUAUGAACCCUAUAAAGGUUCAUGUUGUGUUGUUUAGUUUAAGUUGCACAGACAUUAUGUUAAUUCAAGUCACUGUUUUUAUCAUAUUGUAUUUUGUAUGCUUAUGGAAAGUACAAGUCAUAAAAUUGUUGAUUUAAAGAUUACAAGUUGGAAUGUCAGGGGUCUUAAAAACAUGUUAUUAAUAGAAUUAAAUUAUUGAACGCUAAAAUGGUACUCCUUCAGGAGUCAUUUGACUGAUUCAGAAAUCAAAAAGGUUAGAAAUAGGUGGCCUGAAAAUGUACUUUAUGUAUCAUACAAUAAUUAUGCACGAGGUGUUUUAAUUCUUAUUCACAAAACUAUACCAUUACAAAUCACUAAUAUAAUUCAGGAUCCAGCAGGGCGAUAUGUGAUAGUCCAGGGUACUAUUUUCUCUCUUGCAUUAAUUGUGGUAUGUGUAUAUGGUCCAAAUGAGGACAAUCCUAAAUUUUUUUGAAGACCUUUUUCUCACAAUUUCUCCUCUACAUGUGUCAGUUAUAAUGGGCGGGGACUUUAAUUGCACACUAAAUUGUGUGUUGGAUCGUACUACAGGUUUAGAUCCAAGUAAAGCGAAAACAAGGAAAAUUUUAAAACAAUAUAGUGUUGAUUUAAAUUUAGUUGAAAUUUGGAGGUAUUUUAAUCCUUCUAAAAUGGAAUUUUCAUAUUAUUCAGGCUCCCAGAAAUCUCGAUAGGGCAUUGAUUACUUUUUUGUCUCUCAAAACCUUCUGUCAAAGGUUAAAAACUGCUGGUAUGACAGUGUAGUGAUUUAGCGACCAUGCACCAAUAUCUAUGAAUAUUCAAAUAGACAAACUUUGUCACUGCCCCUGCAAUUGGCGAUUUAAAUCUAUAUGGGUGCAGAAUGAGAACUUUGUUUCCUUCAUAAAAAGUAAAAUUGAUUAAUACAGAUCAAACGGGAGCCUGUACAAGAUGGGAAGCAUUCAAAGCUUACAUUCGAGGAGAAAUUAUUAGUUAUACAAGUUCUAAAUCUAAACAACAAAAAUCAGAGAUGUGUGAUUUAGAGAAGCAAAUAAAGGAGUUAGAAAAUGAUAUAGAUCAGGUAGACGAUCCACUUAAACAUAAAGAAUUGCAAUUUUUAAGAAGUAAACAUAAAAAAUUAUCUACAGAUAAAGCGGCAAAAAGUUUAUUAUGGCUUAAGCAGCCUUAUUACGAUCAAGGUAAAAAGCGGGUAAACUUUUGUCUUAAAGGAUUAGGAAAUUACAAACAGAAUGGGCAAUUAAUAGCAUAAGGACAUCUAAUGGAGUUUUGACUGUCGACCCUCAAGAAAUUAAUAGUACUUUCAGGGAUUUCUAUGAACAAUUGUAUAAAUCCGAGAUACAACAGACUUCGUUUGAGAGGGAUGCAUUUCUUGAUUCACUUAUAUUUCCAGUGCUAUCAGAGGAGGCAAAGCAAAACUUAGAUAACCAUCUGACAGAAGAAGAAAUUUCUGCUGACAUUCAAAGUAGUAAUACUAAUCGUUCUCCUGGGCCCGAUGGACUGACUAUAGAAUUUUAUAAAGCAUUUCAAAAACAAUGAUUGACUCCAUUGAUGGACAUGUAUAACGAAUCAUAUAAUAAGGAGACUCUUCCUCCUAUAUUGAGACUUGCGCUGAUUACCCUGAUCCUCAAACCUAAUAAGCCUUCCACAGAUGUUCCUUGUAUAGACCAAUAAGCUUGAUGGGAUGCGAUACAAAAAUACUUUGCAAAGCCCUGGCAAUACGAUAUAGCCUAUACCUAGUUUAAUACAUAAUGAUCAAAAAAACGUCAAGGAUUUCACAAUAUUCGAAGCGUUUUGAAUAUAUUACAUGAAAAGGCAGAGUGUAAAGACACAGCAUUGCUGUCGUUGGAUGCACGUCAGGCCUUUGACAGAAUUUAAUGGUCAGUUUGGAUUUGGCAAUAAUUUUCUUAAAUGGUUAAUUUUAUAUACAAACCCUACUGCUAGUGUUAUCACUAACAGUAUUUCUUCUAAACCAAUUGUUUUGGAAAGAUCCACGCGCCUGGGCUGUCGUCUUUCCGCAAUGUUGUUCAUUUUCGCCUUAGAACCCCUGGCCAUGUCGAUUCGUAUGGAUAGAGGCUUGACGGGCAUCCAAAUUGGUGAUCAAGAUCAGAAUCUCUCUUUAUGCUGAUGACAUCAUUCUCUUUUUGACCAAGUUAUCCACGAGCCUUCCAAAUUUAUUGGAGCAAAUUAAAAAGUUUGGUAGUUUCUCAGGUUAUGUGAUUAAUGAUAAAAAGUCAUCCAUUUUAUUUUUAAGUACUGAAGAGAGACUUAAUCCUGUGGUUAACACUCCUUUUUUGGGGGUCAAAAUUUCCCCUGAUGUUAACAAUAUAGUUCAGGUUAAUUAUGAACAUUUAAUCUUGGAGGUACAACAGAUACUAGACAGGUGGAUGAUUAUGCCAAUUUCAAUGUUGGGACGUAUAAACAUGGUUAAAAUGAGCGUUUUGCUGAAAUUUUUGUUUUUUUCAAACCAUACCUCUUCCAUUACCUGACAUCUUUUUCACUAGACUCAAAAGAAUGCUCCUGAAUUUUAUUUGGAAUAAUAAGAAAGCCAGAUUAAGACUAUGGUUGCUUUAUAUGCCUUAUGAAACUGGAGGGUUACAAUUUCCAAACUUUAAAUGUUAUUACUGCACUGCUCGACUACGCUCAGCUAUAUAUAAUUUUUCAACAUCACCAUCACACUCUUGGGUAAAAUACAGCAAGCAACAGUACCACACCUUCUAUUAAAGUAUUAUUUAUAUUCUGCUGAGAGUAGAGUAUUAAAACGGCUGACCGAGAAUCCAUUUUUUAAAAACACUGUAGAUAUCUCAUUUAAAUCACACAAACCUAUAUGGGACACUCCUUUACUUUCACGCUUUUCUCCCAUAUGGGGUAAUGCGACUUUUAAAGCUGGAGGAGCAGAUGGGGGUUUUUAAUUAUGGGCAAAUAAUGGUAUAAAAUCAUUGGUGACCUUUAUGUAAAUGGUGAAAUGCUUACAUUCAUUCAAAUAUGUAAAAAAAAAAAAAGCCUUUUUUCAAAUAUCUGCAGUUAUAACACUUUAUUUCAGCACAAAUCAAAAACAUAAUGAACCCCCCUUUGUCCAGUUUAGAAGAUAUUGUCCAGUCAGGUUUGCAUGGAUGUAAGCAGAUAUCUAUGUUCUAUAAAUCUCUAGUCUCACAUGAUCCAGAAUCAAGAAAAAUUAGAUUGGAGGCAUGGAAACUAGAUAUUAAAGAAAAUAUUGAAGUAAUUGAUUGGGAACAUGCAUGCCUUUAAGCACAAAAACAAACAAAUACUAGAAUGAGGCUAUUACAAUCCAAAUGGCUGAUGAAGAUUUAUGUGACCCCUGACAUUCCAGACACGUGUAGUAAGUGCUCUAAUGAAAGGGUACUUUUUAUCAUAGUUUAUGGGAUUGUUGGAAAGUCAAAGAUUAUUGGAAAUCUAUUGUUCAGACAAUUUCUAUAAUAGUUGGAAUUCAGGUUCCUCAUUGCGCAACACUGUGUAUCUUAGGUAUAUAUCCCAAGGACUUUACUGUUAAUAAAAAGAAGGCCAUGCUUAUAGACUUUGGUCUCCUGUAGGCCAGGAGAACAAUUGCAUUGGGAAAAACUGGACGUUCCGCCAAUAAAAGUAUGGAUGUUGGAAAUGGCAUCUUGUGUUGCUCUGGAAAGACUCACGUAAUAUUACGAGAGGAAGAGCUGAGGAAUUUGAGGACAUAUGGAGACCCUUGAAAGAGUUUUUGAAAAAAAAAAAAAAGUGAAUUAUUUGUGAUUUGUGUGCUUUCUUUUUUUUAACACUAUUAUGUCUGUGCAUAGUGUUUUUUUUUGUUAUUGUUUUACUGUUAUUGUGUUGUUUUUGUAAAAUUAUGAAAAAUCUAAUAUAUUGUUUGAAAAAAGUUUGUUUUUUCUAUUCUGAGGAAAAGGAACACACAAUGCCUCAAUUAUUCACAGAUGUACAUGUAUCACAGAACACACAACUACAUCAGGAUGUCAUUUCUCAGGCAGACAUGUAUAUACCCACAUGCACACACGCACGCACACACACACACACACACACACACACACACACAAGGUCUGGAAGGUCUUGCCUCCAUUCUGGAUAAUGAAAUUGGAACAGUAGUUUGCCCUUUUCUUCCAUCAACUGUCCAACAUCACACAGCACCUUGGCUUCACCACCUGACCUCAGUGUGGUAUGGCAGGCUAUAUAUGUGGUCUUUCUCUCAGAGCUUGUCAAACUGACAGUGAUUCAGGCUUCUGGAUUGGAUGAAAUUAACAGUUUUGAUGACCAAAUUCAUGAUGUUAUCCAUCUUUUAUGAAUUGAAACACAAAGCCUCCUGGUGGAUAAUACAGUGUAGUCCACCAUCUGUCCCUCAAAGUUCUUUUCCUGGAUACAGUGCUUACUCAUCACUUCUUCAUCGCCCCUGUUUUCUUCACCAACAUGUCCAUUACAUUCUGCACCAAUCACAGCUCUCUGUCUGGGAUGCUCAUACUUCAUCUUUUUCCCUCUCGGUCACAUCCUACCUGUAGGGCAUAGCCGUUAAUCACAUUAUACAUAUCACCUUCAAUUUCAAAUUUCAGCCUCAUCACUCUUUUCACUUCCAAAAUGUUCUCAGCGCCCUCUUCAUUUAAAAUGAUCCCCACUCCAUUUCUCUUCCCGUCUACUCUAUGGUAAAAUAAUUUAAACCCUGCUCCUAAACUUCGAGGCUUACUACCUUUCCACCUGGUCUCUUGGAUGCACAAAAUAUCAACCUUUCUCCUAAUCAUCAUGUCAAGCAACUCCUGACCAUUUCCUGUCAUAGUCUUAACAUUCAAAGUCCCUGCAUUCAGUUGUUGGCUCUGUGCCUUCCUCUUCUUCUUCUGCCGACUAAGCCGUUUUCCUCCUUUUCUUUGUCUUCGACCUACAGUAACUGAAUUUCCACCGGGGCGGACAUUGUUAACCCGGGCCACGACCGAUCCGGUAUGAGAUUGAUUUGAUGAACGCUCAUUGUGUUUGGAACAGUUUUACGCUGAAUGCCCUUCCUGAUGCAUCCUCUGCAUAUUUUCGGGCUUGGGACAUGCCUACAGAUUGCACUUGAUUGUGGCACCCACAGGGCUGCAUAUAGUCAAAUAAAGACAAUCAAAUAAACAAAGUAAACACACAAGGUACAGAAUUCACAUACUACCUAGGCUAAGUUAAAAGUAAGGGUCCUAACCCAUAUGAAGAUAGAAGAAAAAGAGAUUCAAACCACAUUGUCCCUGCAGUGUUAUCACGGCAGGAGUUGAGCAAGUUGAGGGUUAUGUCACAUGUCCAGCAAUCUCUUUUCCUUUCAGCUAUAUUCUGUUUUACUUCGGCUAAUCUUCAUUUCUCUCCUUUCCAGUGCGUGCCUCUGUUGGAUUAAUAGGAUAAAAAGUUAUCUUAUUUCUGCUUUCUUGGUUUUUAAUGCUUCAUUGCUUGUGUGAUGUGACGCAAUCGAGAUGCCCAUUGAGUCAUGGAAACUUUGCUAUGAUGUAUUUAAACAAUGUGAUGCAAUCAAGUUACAUCGGGUGCAGUGGAAACACCAGACAGUGAUGCAGAAGACAACAUAAAGACCGACGAUCUCAAGAGGAUGGUGAAGACAUCCCAAAGACUCAGAUGGACUAUUUUUGUCACGGUUACUUUGUUUGUCACAUUUGCUUUGUUGUGAUGCGGACCACGCUAAGGAAUAAAAAAGUGGAGCUGCGAUUAGAAUGGCUUGGAGGUUGUGAAAGAGACACAUCCCACAUUCUCCUCGCGAGCCAGAAGUUACUCUUGUCUUCCUUCCUUGAGAAUUGUACUUUAAAUGUCCUAGGCUGCUUAAACAUGACAUUAAAUUGGUCCUUGCUCCCAAGA
Molecule: long non-coding RNA, 9526 nt
Organism: Syngnathoides biaculeatus (alligator pipefish)
Lineage: Eukaryota; Metazoa; Chordata; Actinopteri; Syngnathiformes; Syngnathidae
Exons: 2
Source: RefSeq, a predicted model, not a curated record